This 396-nucleotide ribosomal RNA is filed under the name uncultured bacterium. RNAcentral describes it as "partial 16S ribosomal RNA". It matches the Rfam family "Bacterial small subunit ribosomal RNA", at positions 523 to 918 of the family's 1533-position model. The record is from RNAcentral.
AUACGUAGGUGGCAAGCGUUGUCCGGAAUUAUUGGGCGUAAAGCGCAUGUAGGCGGUGCCUUAAGUCUGUCGUGAAACUGCGGGGCCUAACCCCGUAUGGCGAUGGAAACUGUGGCACUUGAGUGCAGGAGAGGAAAGGGGAACUCCCAGUGUAGCGGUGAAAUGCGUAGAUAUUGGGAAGAACACCGGUGGCGAAGGCGCCUUUCUGGACUGUGUCUGACGCUGAGAGGCGAAAGCCAGGGUAGCGACCGGGAUUAGAUACCCCGGUAGUCCUGGCCGUAAACGAUGGGUACUAGGUGUGGGAGGUAUCGACCCCUUCCGUGCCGGAGUUAACGCAAUAAGUACCCCGCCUGGGGAGUACGGCCGCAAGGCUUAAACUCAAAUGAAUUGACGGGG